This 83-nucleotide transfer RNA is filed under the name Blastopirellula marina. RNAcentral's name for it is "tRNA-Ser". It matches the Rfam family "tRNA". From Rfam's summary of the family: Transfer RNA (tRNA) molecules are approximately 80 nucleotides in length. Their secondary structure includes four short double-helical elements and three loops (D, anti-codon, and T loops). The record is from RNAcentral. Lineage: Bacteria; Pseudomonadati; Planctomycetota; Planctomycetia; Pirellulales; Pirellulaceae.
GGAGGCGAGCCGAAUGGUUAGGGAGCGGUUUUGAAAACCGUCGCCGGUUAUGCCGGUUGCAGGUUCGAAUCCUGUCGCCUCCG